GACGAACGCUGGCGGCGUGCUUAACACAUGCAAGUCGAACGGAAAGGCCCUGCUUUUGUGGGGUGCUCGAGUGGCGAACGGGUGAGUAACACGUGAGUAACCUGCCCUUGACUUUGGGAUAACUUCAGGAAACUGGGGCUAAUACCCGAUAGGAGCUCCUGCUGCAUGGUGGGGGUUGGAAAGUUUCGGCGGUUGGGUAUGGACUCGCGGCUUAUCAGCUUGUUGGUGGGGUAGUGGCUUACCAAGGCUUUGACGGGUAGCCGGCCUGAGAGGGUGACCGGCCACAUGGGGACUGGGAAGCGGGCCAGACGGAUACGGGGGGAAGGAGUGAGGAAUAUUGCAAAAAGGGCGGAGGCCGGAAGCAGGAACGCCGGGUGGGGGAGGACGGCCGUCGGGUUGGAAACCGUUUGCGCCUGUGACGAAGCGUGAGUGAGGUAAAUGGGGAAAGAAGCACCGGCUAACUACGU
Molecule: ribosomal RNA, 467 nt
Filed under: uncultured bacterium
Lineage: Bacteria
Description: partial 16S ribosomal RNA
Rfam family: Bacterial small subunit ribosomal RNA
Source: RNAcentral